This 902-nucleotide ribosomal RNA is filed under the name uncultured delta proteobacterium. RNAcentral's name for it is "bacterial SSU rRNA". It matches the Rfam family "Bacterial small subunit ribosomal RNA", at positions 28 to 916 of the family's 1533-position model. The record is from RNAcentral. Lineage: Bacteria; Deltaproteobacteria.
AACGAACGCUGGCGGCAUGCCUAACACAUGCAAGUCGAACGGGAAGCCAGGUGCUUGCACUUGGUGGAGAGUGGCGCACGGGUGAGUAACGCGUGGACAACGUGCCUUUUGGUUGGGGAUAACCCGAGGAAACUUGGGCUAAUACCGAAUAAGUUCAUUAGAGGUUCGCCGAAGAUGAAGAAAGGGGGGCAACUCCCGCCGAUAGAUCGGUCCGCGUCCCAUCAGCUUGUUGGUGAGGUAACGGCUCACCAAGGCAUCGACGGGUAGCUGGUCUGAGAGGAUGAUCAGCCACACUGGGGCUGAGACACGGCCCAGACUCCUACGGGAGGCAGCAGUGGGGAAUAUUGGGGCAAUGGGGCGCAAGCCUGACCCAGCAAUGCCGCGUGUGUGAUGAAGGCCCUCGGGUUGUAAAGCACUGUCAGGAGGGAAGAAAAAACUUGGGUAACGCCAGGUCUUGACGGUACCUCCAAAGGAAGCACCGGCUAACUCUGUGCCAGCAGCCGCGGUAAUACAGAGGGUGCGAGCGUUGUUCGGAAUUACUGGGCGUAAAGCGAGUGUAGGCGGCGCUGUAAGUCGGAUGUGAAAGCCUCGGCUCGACCGAGGAAGUGCAUUCGAUACUGCAGUGCUUGAGUGUCGGAGGGGGUGGCGGAAUUCCCGGUGUAGAGGUGAAAUUCGUAGAUAUCGGGAGGAACAUCUGUGGCGAAGGCGGCCACCUGGACGACAACUGACGCUGAGACUCGAAAGCGUGGGUAGCAAACAGGAUUAGAUACCCUGGUAGUCCACGCCGUAAACGAUGAGUGCUAGACGCCGCGGGUAUUGACCCCUGCGGUGUCGAAGCUAACGCGUUAAGCACUCCGCCUGGGGAGUACGGUCGCAAGAUUAAAACUCAAAGGAAUUGACGG